Long non-coding RNA from Ictalurus punctatus (channel catfish), 269 nucleotides. RefSeq lists it as uncharacterized. The record is from RefSeq and is a predicted model, not a curated record. The transcript has 3 exons. Lineage: Eukaryota; Metazoa; Chordata; Actinopteri; Siluriformes; Ictaluridae.
GCCCCCGGCAACACUCCAAGCAUCCUGGCUCUGUUAGAGACCUUGCAGUGCACGCCUCACUUGGAAGUGCACAAAGACAUGAUUCGCUGGAUCCUUAAAAUGGUGGUUAGCAUUAAAACGAUGCGCGAGUGCACAGCUGCUGCACCUCCCUGUGAAGGAACUGGGCACUGUCACAAGGAGACUGUGUGGGACAAAGACAAAGCAGAGAGAAAAAGGAAAGCUGAACUGUGCUGGAAAAAGACCACGGCUCAAACAUUACAGAGCCAGAG